Long non-coding RNA from Rosa rugosa (rugosa rose), 812 nucleotides. RefSeq lists it as uncharacterized. The record is from RefSeq and is a predicted model, not a curated record. Lineage: Eukaryota; Viridiplantae; Streptophyta; Magnoliopsida; Rosales; Rosaceae. The transcript is spliced from 7 exons.
CAAGGGGCUGGGAAACGAAAAAUAGCCGCGCGCCAUAGUGAACCCAAAAAACUCAAUCUUCCCGAAGAAUGAAACCUCAUACUCCUUCUUCCCCUCCCCUCAACCCAAAAACUCUUCUCCGAAGAGUCAUCUAAAUCUCAAAAACCUCAUACGCAGUACUCACCUUCGUCUCUCUCGCUCUCUGGCUACUGAUGGGUGAAGGGAAAGCAAAGGGAAGAUUGCCUGACUAUUUAGAACACCUUCUUUGGAUAUUACUCAGAGGCUAGUCUGCUUUGUCCUCUAUUCUCUAUCCUCUAUCUUCCACUCGUCAUUAAUGGUUUGAGUCUAAUUCCAGACUAACUGUGUUCAGUGGAGGGCUACAAAGAGGAUCAAGAAGAGUAGUACAUGGUGGAGAUCGAGAAGGGUUCGGCCUUGGCAACAGAGGGAUCAAGUGUAUAUGAUUGAAGGGCACACAAGGUGCUGUUACUACUAUGAUAAACCUUGUUACAACCCUGCACGCUCAUACCAGCUAUCCUAUACUAUAAGAAAAUGUUACUGAUGGCCUAUAUAAUUGGGAAUUUCAUUUCAAGGAUCAUACAGGUUCCAGAUGCAACUAGUGACCAUGAAAUUCGGAGGGAGUCUGUAGGAGAAGAAGGGAAUCUAGAUUCAAGCAUUGAUAGAGCAAUGGAUUGAGUUUCAAUAUGUUAUUGCACAUAUUCUGAUAGUGCAAUAUUGGAAUUUUUGUUGAGUGUCACUCUUGGUUGUCUUCAUUAGGUGCUUGGUUUUGGGCAUAACUUUGUACUUCUUCUAAUUACAUAUUCUGACAGUGCAGC